This 547-nucleotide ribosomal RNA is filed under the name uncultured bacterium. RNAcentral describes it as "bacterial SSU rRNA". It matches the Rfam family "Bacterial small subunit ribosomal RNA", at positions 355 to 896 of the family's 1533-position model. The record is from RNAcentral.
UGGGGAAUAUUGCGCAAUGGGGGGAACCCUGACGCAGCCAUGCCGCGUGAAUGAAGAAGGCCUUCGGGUUGUAAAGUUCUUUCGGUAUUGAGGAAGGUUGAUGUGUUAAUAGCACAUCAAAUUGACGUUAAAUACAGAAGAAGCACCGGCUAACUCCGUGCCAGCAGCCGCGGUAAUACGGAGGGUGCGAGCGUUAAUCGGAAUAACUGGGCGUAAAGGGCACGCAGGCGGUUAUUUAAGUGAGGUGUGAAAGCCCCGGGCUUAACCUGGGAAUUGCAUUUCAGACUGGGUAACUAGAGUACUUUAGGGAGGGGUAGAAUUCCACGUGUAGCGGUGAAAUGCGUAGAGGUGUGGAGGAAUACCGAAGGCGAAGGCAGCCCCUUGGGAAUGUACUGACGCUCAUGUGCGAAAGCGUGGGGAGCAAACAGGAUUAGAUACCCUGGUAGUCCACGCUGUAAACGCUGUCGAUUUGGGGGUUGGGGUUUAACUCUGGCGCCCGUAGCUAACGUGAUAAAUCGACCGCCUGGGGAGUACGGCCGCAAGGUUA